RNAcentral lists this ribosomal RNA (477 nucleotides) under Cladosporium sp. Fun23W2. Its description in RNAcentral is "eukaryotic LSU rRNA". The stretch from base 112 to 265 matches the Rfam family "5.8S ribosomal RNA". Lineage: Eukaryota; Fungi; Ascomycota; Dothideomycetes; Cladosporiales; Cladosporiaceae. The record is from RNAcentral.
GUUGUCCGACUUUCCCUCCGGGGGGAAACUGCCUUCGGGCGGGGGCUCCGGGUGGACACUUCAUUUUUUCCCGUAACUUUGCAGUCUGAGUAAACUUAAUUAAUAAAUUAAAACUUUUAACAACGGAUCUCUUGGUUCUGGCAUCGAUGAAGAACGCAGCGAAAUGCGAUAAGUAAUGUGAAUUGCAGAAUUCAGUGAAUCAUCGAAUCUUUGAACGCACAUUGCGCCCCCUGGUAUUCCGGGGGGCAUGCCUGUUCGAGCGUCAUUUCACCUCUCAAGCCUCGCUUGGUAUUGGGCAACGCGGUCCGCCGCGUGCCUCAAAUCGACCGGCUGGGUCUUCUGUCCCCUAAGCGUUGUGGAAACUAUUCGCUAAAGGGUGCUCGGGAGGCUACGCCGUAAAACAAACCCAUUUCUAAGGUUGACCUCGGAUCAGGUAGGGAUACCCGCUGAACUUAAGCAUAUCAUAAGCGGAGGAAA